RNAcentral lists this small RNA (557 nucleotides) under Sarocladium glaucum. RNAcentral's name for it is "eukaryotic LSU rRNA". It matches the Rfam family "Eukaryotic large subunit ribosomal RNA", at positions 38 to 605 of the family's 3401-position model. The record is from RNAcentral. Lineage: Eukaryota; Fungi; Ascomycota; Sordariomycetes; Hypocreales; Sarocladiaceae.
GCAUAUCAAUAAGCGGAGGAAAAGAAACCAACAGGGAUUGCCUCAGUAACGGCGAGUGAAGCGGCAACAGCUCAAAUUUGAAAUCUGGCCGCAAGGUCCGAGUUGUAAUUUGUAGAGGAUGCUUUUGGCGAGGUGACUUCCGAGUUCCCUGGAACGGGACGCCAUAGAGGGUGAGAGCCCCGUACGGUCGUGCCACCGAGCCUCUGUAAAGCUCCUUCGACGAGUCGAGUAGUUUGGGAAUGCUGCUCUAAAUGGGAGGUGUACGUCUUCUAAAGCUAAAUACCGGCCAGAGACCGAUAGCGCACAAGUAGAGUGAUCGAAAGAUGAAAAGCACUUUGAAAAGAGGGUUAAAAAGUACGUGAAAUUGUUGAAAGGGAAGCAUUCAUGACCAGACUUGGGCUUGGUUGAACAUCCGGCGUUCUCGCCGGUGCACUCUGCCAGCUCAGGCCAGCAUCAGUUUGCCCCGGGGGACAAAGGCGGUGGGAAUGUAGCUCCCUUCGGGGAGUGUUAUAGCCCGCCGUGUAAUGCCCUGGGGUGGACUGAGGUUCGCGCUUCGG